Molecule: non-coding RNA, 1141 nt
Organism: Lactuca sativa (garden lettuce)
Lineage: Eukaryota; Viridiplantae; Streptophyta; Magnoliopsida; Asterales; Asteraceae
Source: RefSeq, a predicted model, not a curated record
GAUAUCUCGCCCCGUCUCUCUACGAUUCAUAUACUCUCUCUCUCCCUCAUAUAUUUUCUCUAGAAAAUGCCCCUUCAUCUCCAUUAUCGGUUAACGCAACCACUACCACAACUCUCUUCCUUUUCUCUUGCCAAACCGAUGACCUCCACCACCACACAUACCAGUGUUUCCGCCACCAUCAUCGAAUCAAAUUUACUCUCCUAUGUAUUUCCCUUUGAUCUAGAUGCUUCACACCUCAUAAAUCGACCCUACCUAUAUCUCUCUACAUGUCUAUAUCCAGAUCAGCCAUCGCCACUCGCCUCAAGGGUUUCGAGUUGAAGCGAACGACCUCUUGUAUAUGCACCAGUUCUCUCACAUCAUUGACAUUGAAUUCGAUUUCCAAAGCUCUAACCUCAGGUCGAAAACCUCUCCAUGAAGGUGAUAUUUUCUCUCUCGGAUCAUCAUCCAUUCUGAUGGCAUUUGUUUGAAGGGUGCGUUUUAAAAAGGGUUUUUGAAGGUUGACCAGAUGAUGUGAGCAGAUUCGGGAAUCACCCUAUCAUCUCUAUUUUCUCCGCUAGGUAUUAUUUAUUGAGUUUGCUUCUACUUAUUUCCAUGGUUGAAGCUCAAGAUGAUGUGUUGUUCUAGACUUUGGAGAUCGAUUGAGUUUAGAAAUUGGGUGUCUAAACUUGGGAAAAACUAUUCGAAGCAUUAAGAGUCACAUUGGAUCUAGAAGGUUUUGAAACAAUUUCUUUGUUUCUUAGCUAGAAUGACUGGUUUUCAUUGCAGACUAACGAGAAUUCUUGCAAUUAUAUUGUUCUCUUGGAAUUUUUACAAUAAUGAUAAUCAAUUUGUAAAGUAAAAACAAAUGUAUGAUGAUUUAAAAAAUUAACCAGUAAAGUUAGUGAUACAUCAUCUUACUAAUAUUAUUGUAGGUUCUUGGUAAGUGUGUUAGUUCCACCUAUUUAUUCACAUAAUAGUGUCAUAAGGACUUUUUAUGUUGCUUUAAAUGCUUUACAUUUUAGACUUAUAAAGUUAAUAAUUUUGUUUCUUCUAUUUAGUGGAGAACUUGAAAACAUGUCCUCCCUUUUAAUAUGUUUCUGGACCAUUUUGCCCUUGGUGUGGCAUUGGUGUUUUUCUUCAAUUUUGGUGUUGACAUUUUUUU